AGCAGAUGAUGAUUAAAUAUUUGCUAUCUGAGUUGGUGAUUACAGCUUCAUCCACCAAGAUCGCUGAUGCU
Molecule: small nucleolar RNA, 71 nt
Organism: Hyla sarda
Lineage: Eukaryota; Metazoa; Chordata; Amphibia; Anura; Hylidae
Product: small nucleolar RNA SNORD24
Exons: 1
Source: RefSeq, a predicted model, not a curated record